This 254-nucleotide ribosomal RNA is filed under the name uncultured bacterium. RNAcentral's name for it is "partial 16S ribosomal RNA". It matches the Rfam family "Bacterial small subunit ribosomal RNA", at positions 524 to 776 of the family's 1533-position model. The record is from RNAcentral.
UACGUAGGGGGCGAGCGUUGUCCGGAUUUAUUGGGCGUAAAGAGCGUGUAGGCGCCAGGUAGGUCCGUUGUGAAAACUCGAGGCUCAACCUCGAGACGUCGAUGGAAACCAUCUGGCUAGAGUCCGGAAGAGGAGAGUGGAAUUCCUGGUGUAGCGGUGAAAUGCGCAGAUAUCAGGAAGAACACCUAUGGCGAAGGCAGCUCUCUGGGACGGUACUGACGCUGAGACGCGAAAGCGUGGGGGGAGCGAACAGG